Molecule: ribosomal RNA, 329 nt
Filed under: uncultured bacterium
Lineage: Bacteria
Description: bacterial SSU rRNA
Rfam family: Bacterial small subunit ribosomal RNA
Source: RNAcentral
UGUCGUCAGCUCGUGUCGUGAGAUGUCGGCUUAAGUGCCAUAACGAGCGCAACCCUCAUCAUUAGUUACUAACAGGUCAUGCUGAGGACUCUAGUGAGACUGCCAUCGUAAGAUGCGAGGAAGGUGGGGAUGACGUCAAAUCAGCACGGCCCUUACGUCCGGGGCGACACACGUGUUACAAUGGGUGGUACAAAGGGCAGCUACCUGGCGACAGGAUGCUAAUCUCCAAAACCACUCUCAGUUCGGAUCGGAGUUUGCAACUCGACUCCGUGAAGCUGGAUUCGCUAGUAAUCGCGCAUCAGCAUGUCGCGGUGAAUACGUUCCCGGGA